AAGGUCUUGGCUUAAUUAAAGUGUUUGAGUUGCAUUCAAUUGAUAUAGGAUAAAACCCUAUAGGCCUUA
This 69-nucleotide transfer RNA is filed under the name Myuchelys latisternum (Northern Australian snapping turtle). RNAcentral's name for it is "tRNA-Ala". It matches the Rfam family "tRNA". From Rfam's summary of the family: Transfer RNA (tRNA) molecules are approximately 80 nucleotides in length. The record is from RNAcentral. Lineage: Eukaryota; Metazoa; Chordata; Testudines; Chelidae.